Molecule: ribosomal RNA, 253 nt
Filed under: uncultured bacterium
Lineage: Bacteria
Description: partial 16S ribosomal RNA
Rfam family: Bacterial small subunit ribosomal RNA
Source: RNAcentral
UACAGAGGGGGCGAGCGUUGUUCGGAAUUACUGGGCGUAAAGGGCGCGUAGGCGGCCUUCUAAGUCGAACGUGAAAUCCCCGGGCUCAACCCGGGAACUGCGUCCGAUACUGGGAGGCUUGAAUCCGGGAGAGGGAUGUGGAAUUCCAGGUGUAGCGGUGAAGUGCGUAGAUAUCUACAGGAACUCCGGUGGCGAAGGCGGCGUGCUGGACCUCUUCUGACGCUGAGGCGCGAAAGCUAGGGGAGCAAACGGG